GAGUUUGAUCCUGGUUCAGAUUGAACGCUGGCGGAAUGCUUUACACAUGCAAGUCGAACGGCAGCACGGGGCAACCUGGUGGCGAGUGGCGAACGGGUGAGUAAUACAUCGGAACGUGCCCAAUCGUGGGGGAUAACGUAGCGAAAGUUACGCUAAUACCGCAUACGAUCUACGGAUGAAAGCGGGGAUCGCAAGACCUCGCGCGAAUGGAGCGGCCGAUGUCAGAUUAGGUAGUUGGUGGGUAAAGGCUCACCAAGCCGACGAUCUGUAGCUGGUCUGAGAGGACGACCAGCCACACUGGGACUGAGACACGGCCCAGACUCCUACGGGAGGCAGCAGUGGGAAUUUUGGACAAUGGGCGCAAGCCUGAUCCAGCCAUGCCGCGUGCAGGAUGAAGGCCUUCGGGUUGUAAACUGUCUUUUGUACGGAACGAAAAGACUCCUUCUAAUAAAGGGGGUCCAUGACGGUACCGUAAGAAUAAGCACCGGCUAACUACGUG
Molecule: ribosomal RNA, 499 nt
Filed under: uncultured bacterium
Lineage: Bacteria
Description: bacterial SSU rRNA
Rfam family: Bacterial small subunit ribosomal RNA
Source: RNAcentral